GUGUCAUUUGGGAUGUAUCCUUGCUUCAAGUAAAAACAGACAUAAAGACGUAACAAUGGGCUAACUUCACAGUUAAUAUGAUCACAGCGUUUCCAAAGCAACACUAGCCUGAUCCCAGGUCUGUUUGGGCUGUCCUGGUCCCAGGUCUGUUUGGGCUGUCUUGUCAUUACCUAGCCUGGUCCCAGGUCUGUUUGGGCUGUCUUGUCAUUAUCUAGCCUGGUCCCAGGUCUGUUUGGGCUGUCUUGUCAUUACCUAGCCUGGUCCCAGGUCUGUUUGGGCUGUCUUGUCAUUAUCUAGCCUGGUCCCAGGUCUGUUUGGGCUGUCUUGUCAUUAUCUAGCCUGGUCCCAGGUCUGUUUGGGCUGUCUUGUCAUUAUCUAGCCUGGUCCCAGGUCUGUUUGGGCUGUCUUGUCAUUAUCUAGCCUGGUCCCAGGUCUGUCUUGUCAUUAUCUAGCCUGGUCCCAGGUCUGUUUGGGCUGUCUUGUCAUUAUCUAGCCUGGUCCCAGGUCUGUUUGGGCUGUCUUGUCAUUAUCUAGCCUGGUCCCAGGUCUGUUUGGGCUGUCUUGUCAUUAUCUAGCCUGGUCCCAGGUCUGUUUGGGCUGUCUUGUCAUUACCUAGCCUGGUCCCAGGUCUGUUUGGGCUGUCUUGUCAUUAUCUAGCCUGGUCCCAGGUCUGUUUGGGCUGUCUUGUCAUUACCUAGCCUGGUCCCAGGUCUGUUUGGGCUGUCUUGUCAUUACCUAGCCUGGUCCCAGGUCUGUUUGGGCUGUCUUGUCAUUACCUAGCCUGGUCCCAGGUCUGUUUGGGCUGUCUUGUCAUUAUCUAGCCUGGUCCCAGGUCUGUUUGGGCUGUCUUGUCAUUACCUAGCCUGGUCCCAGGUCUGUUUGGGCUGUCUUGUCAUUAUCUAGCCUGGUCCCAGGUCUGUUUGGGCUGUCUUGUCAUUAUCUAGCCUGGUCCCAGGUCUGUUUGGGCUGUCUUGUCAACUCCUAUGGUCAUUACCUAGCCUGGUCCCAGGUCUGUUUGGGCUGUCUUGUCAUUAUCUAGCCUGGUCCCAGGUCUGUUUGGGCUGUCUUGUCAUUAUCUAGCCUGGUCCCAGGUCUGUUUGGGCUGUCUUGUCAUUAUCUAGCCUGGUCCCAGGUCUGUUUGGGCUGUCUUGUCAUUACCUAGCCUGGUCCCAGGUCUGUUUGGGCUGUCUUGUCAUUAUCUAGCCUGGUCCCAGGUCUGUUUGGGCUGUCUUGUCAUUACCUAGCCUGGUCCCAGGUCUGUUUGGGCUGUCUUGUCAUUAUCUAGCCUGGUCCCAGGUCUGUUUGGGCUGUCUUGUCAACUCCUAUGGUCAUUACCUAGCCUGGUCCGUCUUGUCAUUAUCUAGCCUGGUCCCCGAUCUGUUAGGGCUGUCUUGUCAACUCCUAUGGUCAAUGACCGUUCUAGUUGGUUAUGAAGAAAAGCACAAACAGAUCUGGGACCAGGCUAAAUCCACACACCGUUAGAGCGCCUUAACGGGGCCAGGUUCAGUAGCCAGAUAGAAAUACCAUGAAUAGAGCAGACAUGACUCCUUAUUCUACAUGCAUUUCUAUCUGAACCUGCCCCAAGAAGUAACGGGUGGGGGAGAGGGGGUGUUGAGGGUUAUUACAGGGAGAGAGGCUGGGUUGAGGGUUAUUAUGGACAGACACGGAGGGGUUGAGGG
Molecule: long non-coding RNA, 1679 nt
Organism: Oncorhynchus keta (chum salmon)
Lineage: Eukaryota; Metazoa; Chordata; Actinopteri; Salmoniformes; Salmonidae
Exons: 11
Source: RefSeq, a predicted model, not a curated record